GACGAACGCUGGCGGCGUGCCUAAUACAUGCCAGUAGAACGCUGAAGCGAGGAGCUUGCUCUUCUUGGAUGAGUUGCGAACGGGUGAGUAACGCGUAGGUAACCUGCCUUGUAGCGGGGGAUAACUAUUGGAAACGAUAGCUAAUACCGCAUAACAAUGGAUGACACAUGUCAUUUAUUUGAAAGGGGCAAUUGCUCCACUACAAGAUGGACCUGCGUUGUAUUAGCUAGUAGGUGAGGUAAUGGCUCACCUAGGCGACGAUACAUAGCCGACCUGAGAGGGUGAUCGGCCACACUGGGACUGAGACACGGCCCAGACUCCUACGGGAGGCAGCAGUAGGGAAUCUUCGGCAAUGGGGGCAACCCUGACCGAGCAACGCCGCGGGAGUGAAGAAGGGUUUCGGAUCGUAAAGCUCUGUUGUAAGUCAAGAACGGGUGUGAGAGUGGAAAGUUCACACUGUGACGGUAGCUUACCAGAAAGGGACGGCUAACUACGUG
This 497-nucleotide ribosomal RNA is filed under the name uncultured bacterium. RNAcentral's name for it is "partial 16S ribosomal RNA". It matches the Rfam family "Bacterial small subunit ribosomal RNA", at positions 28 to 507 of the family's 1533-position model. The record is from RNAcentral.